Molecule: ribosomal RNA, 494 nt
Filed under: uncultured bacterium
Lineage: Bacteria
Description: partial 16S ribosomal RNA
Rfam family: Bacterial small subunit ribosomal RNA
Source: RNAcentral
GACGAACGCUGGCGGCGUGCUUAACACAUGCAAGUCGAACGGUGAAGCGCCUUCCUUUUUGGUGGGUGUGGAUGAGUGGCGAACGGGUGAGUAACACGUGAGUAACCUGCCCCCUUCUUCUGGAUAACCGCAUGAAAGUGUGGCUAAUACGGGAUAUUCUGGGUCUGUCGCAUGAUGGGUCUGGGAAAGAUAUUGUUUCGGUGGGGGAUGGGCUCGCGGCCUAUCAGCUUGUUGGUGGGGUGAUGGCCUACCAAGGCGGUGACGGGUAGCCGGCCUGAGAGGGUGGACGGUCACACUGGGACUGAGACACGGCCCAGACUCCUACGGGAGGCAGCAGUGGGGAAUAUUGCACAAUGGGCGCAAGCCUGAUGCAGCGACGCCGCGUGAGGGAUGGAGGCCUCCGGGUUGUGAACCUCUUUCGCCAGUGAAGCAGGCCUGCCUCGUUUGUGGGUGGGUUGACGGUAGCUGGAUAAGAAGCGCCGGCUAACUACGUG